GGGUGAUCUGGCUGAGGCAUCUGUCACUCAUUGAUCUCAGGGGUGAUGGGACUGACCUGGCUGAUUAGGCCACUUCUUCAGGCACAGCCUCCCCGAGGCUGCUCAAGCACAGAGAAAUUUGUCUUUCCAAUAAGUUAUUACAAGCUAUAGCCUUCUUUACUAGGACUUCCAAAUGAGCUCUCAAGAAAUAGUCUGCAAUCCAAAGUUCAGUAAGGCGAGUAUCAAAUAACAAUAACGAAUAAUUACCUAAGUAAAGUUCUUGAUCU
Molecule: small RNA, 266 nt
Filed under: Choloepus hoffmanni (Hoffmann's two-fingered sloth)
Lineage: Eukaryota; Metazoa; Chordata; Mammalia; Pilosa; Megalonychidae
Description: 7SK RNA (ENSCHOG00000016102.1)
Source: RNAcentral